Molecule: ribosomal RNA, 237 nt
Filed under: uncultured bacterium
Lineage: Bacteria
Description: partial 16S ribosomal RNA
Rfam family: Bacterial small subunit ribosomal RNA
Source: RNAcentral
UGAGGAACAUGACCUUCGGCGGGGGAUAGCCGGCCCAACGGCCGGGUAAUACCGCGUACGACCACAUGGGGACAUCCCUGAGUGGUGAAAGCAGCAAUGCGCCGAUGGAGUGCCUCGCGGCCUAUCGGCUAGUUGGUGUGGGUAAUGGCCCACCAAGGCGGCGACGGGUAGCCGGCCUGAGAGGGUGACCGGCCACACUGGGACUGGGACACGGCCCAGACUCCUACGGGGAGGCAG